This 602-nucleotide ribosomal RNA is filed under the name Phaeoacremonium rubrigenum. Its description in RNAcentral is "eukaryotic LSU rRNA". It matches the Rfam family "Eukaryotic large subunit ribosomal RNA", at positions 38 to 667 of the family's 3401-position model. Lineage: Eukaryota; Fungi; Ascomycota; Sordariomycetes; Togniniales; Togniniaceae. The record is from RNAcentral.
GCAUAUCAAUAAGCGGAGGAAAAGAAACCAACAGGGAUUGCCCUAGUAACGGCGAGUGAAGCGGCAACAGCUCAAAUUUGAAAUCUGGCCUCGGCCCGAGUUGUAAUUUGCAGAGGAUGCUUCGGGCGCGGUGCCUACUGAGUUCCCUGGAACGGGACGCCGUAGAGGGUGAGAGCCCCGUACGGUAGGACGCCUAGCCUGUGUGAAGCUCCUUCGACGAGUCGAGUAGUUUGGGAAUGCUGCUCAAAAUGGGAGGUAUAUCUCUUCUAAAGCUAAAUACCGGCCAGAGACCGAUAGCGCACAAGUAGAGUGAUCGAAAGAUGAAAAGCACCUUGAAAAGGGGGUUAAACAGCACGUGAAAUUGUUGAAAGGGAAGGGCCCAUGACCAGACUUGUGUCCGGCGGAUCACCCAGCGUUCUCGCUGGGGCACUCCGCCGGGUCCAGGCCAGCAUCGGUUCUCGCCGGGGGAUAAAGGCUUGGGGAACGUAGCUCCUCCGGGAGUGUUAUAGCCCCUUGCGUAAUACCCUGGCGGGGACCGAGGUACGCGCUCCGCAAGGAUGCUGGCGUAAUGGUCAUCAGCCACCCGUCUUGAAACACGGACC